RNAcentral lists this ribosomal RNA (446 nucleotides) under uncultured bacterium. RNAcentral describes it as "bacterial SSU rRNA". It matches the Rfam family "Bacterial small subunit ribosomal RNA", at positions 329 to 792 of the family's 1533-position model. The record is from RNAcentral.
AUCCAGACUCCUACGGGAGGCAGCAGUGGGGAAUAUUGCACAAUGGGGGAAACCCUGAUGCAGCGACGCCGCGUGAGCGAUGAAGUAUUUCGGUAUGUAAAGCUCUAUCAGCAGGGAAGAAGAUGACGGUACCUGACUAAGAAGCCCCGGCUAACUACGUGCCAGCAGCCGCGGUAAUACGUAGGGGGCAAGCGUUAUCCGGAUUUACUGGGUGUAAAGGGAGCGUAGACGGCGAUGCAAGCCAGAUGUGAAAGCCCGGGGCUCAACCCCGGGACUGCAUUUGGAACUGUGUGGCUGGAGUGUCGGAGAGGCAGGCAGAAUUCCUAGUGUAGCGGUGAAAUGCGUAGAUAUUAGGAGGAACACCAGUGGCGAAGGCGGCCUGCUGGACGAUGACUGACGUUGAGGCUCGAAAGCGUGGGGAGCAAACAGGAUUAGAUACCCUAGUA